Molecule: long non-coding RNA, 2467 nt
Filed under: Nicotiana benthamiana
Lineage: Eukaryota; Viridiplantae; Streptophyta; Magnoliopsida; Solanales; Solanaceae
Description: long non-coding RNA (NBEN_LNC024267)
Source: RNAcentral
ACCCGAUCACUUAUCUCGCGAUUUCAUAACUGUACUACUGAAACACACUUAUUGGAAUCAAUGAAAUGUUUUAACUGUCAUGAACAUGGAAAGCCACAGUUUAUACAACCCCUUCCUAUUUGCAGAAAUUAAUAAUAGGCUAAAAGGCACAGGCAGUCCAGUUAUACACCUAUCAACUAGUAACAAGUAAAAGUCCUACUCAAUGACCAAUUAAAGAUAGAAGGGAAUUCAACAGGAACUUGGCAUCAUUUCAUUUCAUCUUCAACUUCAGGUUUAUAUCAGUACAUGAUUUCAGAGUGUGUACCUGGAGAUUGUAAAGAAAGGGAAAAUGAGAUCAGCAGUAGUAGAUAAUAGCAACAAGAAACCAACAGCAAGUCACAACAGUUUACAGCAACACCGUUUCCGAAACCAGAAAUACACUCAACAGGCAAAUAGACCCAACUUAAAACCAACUUCAACCAGAAAGGAGUAGAAAGCAGUCCAAGAGUAAUGUAAAAACCAAUAGAAACCAAGACAUCCAGAACACAACCUUGACCAAACCAAUUGGUAUUGAAUUUUGAUUCUAACAAACAUCUCCCAAACGAUAAACGACUCCCAAUAUCUUAACUUCUAGUAUAGGACAGAAGCAAAAAAGGACAAGAAGAAAGGUUCUAGCUAUUUCCGAUCCUAAGUGAAGCGAUGACUCUCCACUCUUUCUAUGAACUCUUCCUUUCAAAAUGUUCAAAGACCUCUCUUGUUUUUCUUUUGUUCUCAAUCUUUUCAUCAAUAUUCAGAAUGUAUUCUCCUGUAUAUUCGUGUGUUAAGCUCUCUCCCUAUUUUCAGAAUGUUCUUCUCCAAACUACUGACCCUUUUUUUCAGAUUAAAAGACCAGCCUCUAUUGCUAUCUUAAACUCUCAAUUUUCUUAACAGAUUUUUUUCCCCUUUUUAAGUGUCCAAUGAUCCUUCCUUUUAUAUCUCAAGAGUAAGACCCCUCCCUACCUAUUUACCUAUUGUUACUACCCCUUUCAUUAUUACCCUUAUCUAAUUACCCCUACCCCUUUCUUGAAUUUCAGCCCCCACAAAUAUUCCCUCCUAUGUCUCUUUUAACUUUUUAUCAUUACUUACACCAUUCUUAAAUUCAAAUAACCCAAAAGUAGUCAAACAGAAAUCCCACAGUCCCCCUUAAAUUACUCCUUGUUCCCCACUUAUUUUGUUUCCCACUAUUGCAUUAGUUUAAUGUCAAUUAGCAUUUUAGUGGGCAUAGCACUCAACUUAAACAAUUAAGCAAUUUUUCUAUACCUAAAUUAACCUUGAGGUUACUGCAAUUACUGUCAUAUCCCCAUCUGAUCCCCUUCAAUCUGUACCAGACCCCACAGCUAUAACCAAUUCAAUCCUAUCCAAACACACAAAAUGAUUUCAGGCAGAAGGGAUAAGGGAAUGAGGUUCAUGUGGCAUUAAAAUGAGCGAGUCAGUCUGGUUCAAAGAGGCAAUUGGGUACAUUCAACAACUCCAAUUCAAUCACAUAAGAACCGAAAUGAGGCAGAAACGACACAACACUGGAAUGAACAAUUCGUGAUUCCCUAAUUUCAUUCAAUGAAUUCAGUUGACGACCUUCGAUUAAUUGACUAUAUGAGCUAUAACAGAUAGCUAACAAUCAAUUAACAAGAUGUAUCAAACCGGUUACCAUAUGGCUUCAGUGAUUUUAAUAGGGAAAUCUAAUAUGAACUAAACUAUUUAUACGACUUUAAACAGGUUGAACACACAACUCACAAUAACAAUAACUAACAAACAAACAGAAGCAAAUGACCAUAUAAAAGGUCUUAUGAAGACAGACAGAAUUGAAAGAAAAAUAACGGAAAAAUCAAACAAAUUAACUAAACAUGCAAACAAACGCAAAUAAAAGAAAAACAAGACAGAAGGAAAGGAGAACUUAUCUUGGAAGAUCAAGAACAAAACGACCCAGGCUUGAACUAGAAUCGACCAUUUGAAGUCGAACGGACUUUAAUCGAAGUGUUCUCAACAUAGAACACCUCGAUUAAGGUCUAUUAGACCCCAACCCUUUGUUAAUUUGGACAGACCCCCAUGGAUUUGUGUUUUAGGGUUCCCACAGUCAAUUUGGGGUUCGACCUUCUCAGGUUAGAUUCAAACCAAUCCUUAGUUGGUUAAGGCAUGAGGGAAGUCAGUGGAGUGGCUAGUAUCAAUUGGAAGUGGUUUGACAUAGGUUGAGUUUUGGUUCGAAUCUUCAAAUGAAGAUUCGAGCCGAUGUGGAAUGAUUCGAGCCAAGGGAGUAGUGGAUUUGGGUUCAGGGUGUGAAGGGGGUUUGUGGUGUUAAGGAGGUGGUCGACGGCGUAGUUGCCGCUGGGUUUCAGGCGGAAGUGCAGGGUGGCGGCUACGGUUUGGGUAAGGGGAUCAUCUCUGAUAAAGACGAUGAUGAAUAGGGAAGAGAGGGGGUGUUUGGAUUAGGAGGGCUGGGUGUUUGGAUUAGGAG